Molecule: RNA transcript, 1315 nt
Organism: Choloepus didactylus (southern two-toed sloth)
Lineage: Eukaryota; Metazoa; Chordata; Mammalia; Pilosa; Megalonychidae
Gene name: SRSF protein kinase 3-like
Exons: 2
Source: RefSeq, a predicted model, not a curated record
GUUCACAAGCAGUCGAUGGAGGACAUCCAAACUCGACAGUACCAGGCCAUGGAGGGCCUGAUCCGCUCUGAGUACAGCCCGCUGGGGGACAUCCGGAGUACCGUGUGCACGGCCUUCGAGCUGGCCACCGGCGACUACCUGUUCGAGCCCCACUCUGGAGAGGACUACAACCGCAACCAGGAUCACUUCGCCCACAUCUUGAGUUCCGGGGAGACAUCCUCCCAGGCGUUCGCCCUCUCGGCUGCUAUUCCCGGGAGUCCUUCAACCAGAGAGGGGAGCUGCGACACAUCCACAACCUCAAGCACUAGGGCCUGAAUGAGGUGCUUAUGGAGAAAUACGACUGGCCCCGGGGGCAGGCCAUGCAUUUGAGCACCUUCCUGCUGCCCAUGAUGGAGUACAUCCCCAAGAAGCUGGUCAGUGCCACCGACAGCCACCAGCACAUUUGGCUCAAGCCCUAGGGCCUGCCACCAUGGCGGGUGGCUCCCUUGGCCUGGCUCUGCUCCAGCUUGCAGGGCCUCGAGGGGCAGCAGACACCCACUGGCCCGGGGGCGCCGUCCCCUCCCUGCUCCAUUGUGUGGCUGUGCUGGGGCCAGGUCUGUCUCUCAGAAGUUGGUUUGUGUCCCCAAUCCUCCUGUGUUUCUUUUCUUAAUAAAGUCUGAAUGGGAAAAAAAUAAUAAUUAUGCAAAUAUAAUUGUAUACUUACGUAAUUAUUUCUUUGGGAUAAACUCCAAGAAUUGCUGGCACUAAAAAUAUACAAAUUUUAAAGGUUUUUGAUACUUGUUGCCAAAUUGCCUUCUAACUCAGUUAUGACUAUCUGUGUAACCUUGAGCAUGUUACUUAACUCUUGAGCCUUAACUUCCUCAUUUAUAAAAUGGAGAUAGUGUGAGAAUAUAUUGUUUUAAAGCAGUUAAAACAGAGCCUUGCAUGUGCUAAGUACUUGUUGGUAAUGAUUAUUACUUUUUUUUCCUAAGCUCUUCCAGUUAAUACUCCGACCUGAGUUGUAUGAGAAUUUGUGGUUUUUCAACCUCUCAAGUAGUUACACAAGCUUCUGGCACCACUAAUCUACUUUCUGUCUCUAUGGAUUUACCUGUCUACAGUGGGCAAGCUCUGAAUCAGGUUAAAUAAAAGCAAUAUUGUGAGUGGGGUCUUCUGCAGAAUCACCAGACAAAUAAAAUAAUGGCAAUUCUCUGAGAAUGGGGCUUUGAAAGAGCUCUGUGCUGGUUUGGAUGUAUUAUGUCCCCCAAAACACCAUUAUCUUUGAUGCAGUCUGUGUGGGCAGGAAACAUAUUGGUGUUGAUUGGGUUGGAGACUUUUG